UACGAAGGGGGCUAGCGUUGCUCGGAAUCACUGGGCGUAAAGGGUGCGUAGGCGGGGCUUUAAGUCAGGGGUGAAAUCCUGGAGCUCAACUCCAGAACUGCCUUUGAUACUGAGGAUCUUGAGUUCGGGAGAGGUGAGUGGAACUGCGAGUGUAGAGGUGAAAUUCGUAGAUAUUCGCAAGAACACCAGCGGCGAAGGCGGCGCUCUGGGCCGGAACUGACGCUGAGGAGCGAAAGCGUGGGUAGCAAACAGG
RNAcentral lists this ribosomal RNA (253 nucleotides) under uncultured bacterium. Its description in RNAcentral is "partial 16S ribosomal RNA". It matches the Rfam family "Bacterial small subunit ribosomal RNA", at positions 524 to 776 of the family's 1533-position model. The record is from RNAcentral.